UGUUAUAAAUUUUAUUCCUUUGUAUUGUUAAAAAUUGACAUGACUACAAAUUAAUUAGACAGUGACGCUUGGCGUGUCACAUGUACCUCAUUCAGAUGUACAAAAAUAAGUUUUUAACAGUAGAAAUGAAUAAUUUUUUUAAUA
Molecule: microRNA precursor, 144 nt
Filed under: Gossypium hirsutum (cotton)
Lineage: Eukaryota; Viridiplantae; Streptophyta; Magnoliopsida; Malvales; Malvaceae
Description: MIR7502 microRNA precursor family
Rfam family: MIR7502 microRNA precursor family
Source: Rfam by way of RNAcentral